This 650-nucleotide ribosomal RNA is filed under the name uncultured bacterium. RNAcentral describes it as "bacterial SSU rRNA". It matches the Rfam family "Bacterial small subunit ribosomal RNA", at positions 28 to 657 of the family's 1533-position model. The record is from RNAcentral.
AACGAACGUUGGCGGCGUGGAUUAGGCAUGCAAGUCAUACGGGAUCCGGGGUAACUCGGGUCUAGUGGCGAACGGGUGAGUAUCGCGUGGGAAACCUGCCCUUGAGACGGGGAUAACACCUCCAACGGGGUGCUAAUACCGGAUAAGACCACGGAGUCGCAUGGCUCUGCGGUCAAAGGUGGCCUCUACUUGUAAGCUACCACUUAAGGAUGGUCCCGCGUCCCAUUAGCUAGUUGGUAGGGUAAUGGCCUACCAAGGCUACGAUGGGUAGCUGGUCUGAGAGGAUGGUCAGCCACACUGGGACUGAGAUACGGCCCAGACUCCUACGGGAGGCAGCAGUCGAGAGGCUUCGGCAAUGGGGGAAACCCUGACCGAGCGACGCCGCGUGGGCGAUGAAGGCCGUUAGGUUGUAAAGCCCUGUCGAGCGGGAAAAAUUGCAGGCGGGUGAACAAUCCGCUUGUUUGAUGGUACCGUUAAAGGAAGCUCCGGCCAACUCCGUGCCAGCAGCCGCGGUAAUACGGGGGGAGCGAACGUUGUUCGGAAUUACUGGGCGUAAAGGGCGUGCAGGCGGUCCUGUAAGAGAGUUGUGAAAUGCCCUGGCUCAACCAGGGAAAUGCACCUCUGACUGCAGGACUUGAGUAUGGGAGAGG